This 544-nucleotide long non-coding RNA is filed under the name Prunus persica (peach). RNAcentral describes it as "long non-coding RNA (PPER_LNC004303)". The record is from RNAcentral. Lineage: Eukaryota; Viridiplantae; Streptophyta; Magnoliopsida; Rosales; Rosaceae.
UUAACAACAUCGAUAUUGCAUUGAGUUUAAUUAUCUGUUUAGUACGUGUGGGGUUUUAUAUAAAAGAAAUCGAUGUCAUUAGAAGUUGAGCAUUAAUUAUACGAGAUUUUCUAUUUUGUUAAGUUUUCGAUGUGGGAUUGUGUGUAUUCUUCAAUAAUAAUUUGUAGUAAGGUUAAAAACUUAUAUUUAAGAAAAUAACGUUUCUCAUUAUCCAAACAAAAAUUGAAAAAGUUGAUGCUUUCUUCAUUUUUAGUGGAGGCCUUUUGCUCUGCUUUUUCUCUUUUUUUUUUCUUUUAUCAUUGUGGAUGGCUCAUGAAAGAAAUUAAACUAAUUUAUAAUGCUUAAGAGCACAACAACAAGGCUUUCCACUUUUUAGUUUUUGUUUAUUUCAUUAUCCAAUAAAAAAGGUGUGACUAUUGUUGUGUCAAUACUAAUCAAGCCCCUCGAUUUACAACACGUGUAUUUGUUUUCUUGCAAUCGGAGGAUGUUCUUUCUUCCACGUCGUAUUCCUUUCCCUUGUUUGUCUUUUUAUUGAGCCCUUUCU